This 253-nucleotide ribosomal RNA is filed under the name uncultured bacterium. RNAcentral describes it as "partial 16S ribosomal RNA". It matches the Rfam family "Bacterial small subunit ribosomal RNA", at positions 524 to 776 of the family's 1533-position model. The record is from RNAcentral.
UACGUAGGGUGCUAGCGUUGUUCGGAAUCAUUGGGCGUAAAGCGCGUGUAGGUGGUCAGUAAAGUUGGGUGUGAAAUCCCUCGGCUCAACCGAGGAAGUGCACUCAAAACUCACUGGCUUGAGAAUGGUAGAGGAAGGUGGAAUUCCUAGUGUAGAGGUGAAAUUCGUAGAUAUUAGGAGGAAUACCGGAGGCGAAGGCGGCCUUCUGGACCAUUUCUGACACUGAGACGCGAAAGCGUGGGUAGCAAACAGG